This 529-nucleotide ribosomal RNA is filed under the name uncultured bacterium. RNAcentral's name for it is "bacterial SSU rRNA". It matches the Rfam family "Bacterial small subunit ribosomal RNA", at positions 8 to 526 of the family's 1533-position model. The record is from RNAcentral.
AGAGUUUGAUCAUGGCUCAGAUUGAACGCUGGCGGCACGCCUAACACAUGCAAGUCGAGCGGCAGCGAGAUUAGUAGCAAUACUAAUUGUCGGCGAGCGGCGGGCGGGUGAGUAAUACGUAGGAACCUGUCCUUCAGAGGGGGACAACCAAGGGAAACUUUGGCUAAUACCGCAUAAACUCGAAAGAGGAAAGCUGCCCCGCAAGGGGUGGUGCUGAAGGAGGGGCCUGCGUCCGAUUAGCUAGUUGGUGAGGUAAAGGCUCACCAAGGCGAUGAUCGGUAACUGGUCUGAGAGGACGACCAGUCACACUGGGACUGAGACACGGCCCAGACUCCUACGGGAGGCAGCAGUGGGGAAUAUUGGACAAUGGGGGCAACCCUGAUCCAGCGAUGCCGCGUGGGUGAAGAAGGCCUUCGGGUUGUAAAGCCCUUUAGGUUGGGAAGAAGUGCAUGAGAUGAAUAAUCUUAUGUAUUGACGGUACCGACAGAAUAAGCACCGGCAAACUCUGUGCCAGCCGCCGCGGUAAUAC